GACACUGAAAAUGAAAACCUAAGAUUUAAACAUUCAGUCUUGAACGAAACUCCGAGACGAGAAGUGUUUAAUUUAAAUUUAAAACAAAAAACAAAAAAAAAUAUUCAACAAAAUGUCGAGGACUUGUCUUUUUGUGUUGAUUGCUUUAUUAGCCAUCACCACUGUUUUGGCACGCACCACUGUUGCUGAACAGAACACCAGGCUUAGCAGCAGACCAGCAAGCCCCAGCGGUCUUGCUAAGGCAACUUGUGGUAAACAUGGAGAUGAUUGUCAAAGUUCAGAUCAAUGCUGUGGCAAUACUCGCUGCCAUAUUUACGCUCACAAAUGUCAAGCUAUCAUAACCGCUGAAGAUUUGCAAAACCAAAGGAAGAAGCUCAGGCAUGUCGAGAUCAAUGCUCACAAAAAGGAUAGGAAUUAUUAAUAAGUAUCUAUAGGUACAUAAAUAAGUCAAGAAUAAAGCACAUAAAGAGGCAGAGACCUGAUAGUAAACUAAUAAAUUUAUGUGCUUAAUUUUUGUAUUUUUAUUUUUGAAAAUCUAAUCUUAAAAAAGAAAUAAGUGAUUUCAUUAAAAUGUUCGGACUUUCUAUAAGAGAA
Eupeodes corollae is the source of this 594-nucleotide RNA transcript. RefSeq lists it as uncharacterized. The transcript is spliced from 4 exons. NCBI's taxonomy places the organism in Eukaryota, Metazoa, Arthropoda, Insecta, Diptera, Syrphidae. The record is from RefSeq and is a predicted model, not a curated record.